RNAcentral lists this ribosomal RNA (535 nucleotides) under Schistometopum gregorii. Its description in RNAcentral is "partial 16S ribosomal RNA". It matches the Rfam family "Bacterial large subunit ribosomal RNA", at positions 1816 to 2597 of the family's 2925-position model. Lineage: Eukaryota; Metazoa; Chordata; Amphibia; Gymnophiona; Dermophiidae. The record is from RNAcentral.
CACCUCUAGCUAAGUACACAAAUAUUAGAGGCAAUGCCUGCCCAGUGAAAAUUUUUAACGGCCGCGGUAUUCCGACCGUGCAAAGGUAGCAUAAUCACUUGUCUUUUAAAUCAAGACUAGUAUGAAUGGCAAAACGAAAGCUUAACUGUCUCCUUUAUUUAAUCAAUGAAAUUGAACUUCUUGUACAAAAGCAAGAAUACACAAAUAAGACGAGAAGACCCUAUGGAACUUAAACCACACUACCAAUUUAAUUUAUAAAAUCUUAAACACUGGAUCUGUUGGUUUUGGUUGGGGUGACCACGGAGCAAAACAAUCCUCCGAGAUAAUAUAACUAAGAUACACAUAACAAAGUAUUAAAAACUUAAAACCUUGACCCAAUACAUUUGAUAAACGAACCAAGCUACCCUAGGGAUAACAGCGCAAUCUUCUUUAAGAGUCCAUAUCACCAAGAAGGUUUACGACCUCGAUGUUGGAUCAGGAUAUCCAAACAGUGCAGCCGCUGUUAAUGGUUUGUUUGUUCAACAAUUAAAAUCCU